RNAcentral lists this ribosomal RNA (253 nucleotides) under uncultured bacterium. RNAcentral's name for it is "partial 16S ribosomal RNA". It matches the Rfam family "Bacterial small subunit ribosomal RNA", at positions 524 to 776 of the family's 1533-position model. The record is from RNAcentral.
UACGAAGGGGGCUAGCGUUGUUCGGAAUUACUGGGCGUAAAGCGUGCGUAGGUGGUGAGUUAAGUCUGUCGUGAAAGCCCCCGGCUCAACUGGGGAGGGUCACGCGAUACUGGUCGACUCGAAGGCAGGAGGGGGUAGUGGAAUUCCCGGUGUAGUGGUGAAAUGCGUAGAUAUCGGGAGGAACACCAGUGGCGAAGGCGACUACCUGGCCUGUUCUUGACGCUGAGGCGCGAAAGCUAGGGGAGCAAACGGG